AUGUGUAAAAUGGAUAGCUGGUGAGAAGUUCUGCAUAACACAGGGAACCCAACCCAGUGCACUGUGAUGACCUGGACAGAUGGGGUAGGGAGAGGGGAGGGAGACUAGAGAGGGAGGGGAAAUAUGUACAAUUGUAAAUUGUUUUUUUUAAAGGGAAUGAUGCCUCACCAAUAAGUCAUUCAGAGAGUGAAAUGAAGUAAACAUAACACCUGUCCCAUGAAAGAGAACAGAUUUCUAGAAACAUCAUUCUGGCUGUACUGCAUCAAACAACCUGAAGAGGUCGCUUCAUACAAAAGCUGCUUGUUACUGUGGUACUUUUUUAAAAAAAGCAGCAGUCGUGCCUCAUCUCAGUCCUUGCAAAGAUGGUAAGUAGUUUUCAAUUUUUUUUUUUUUUAACCAGCUGGCUGUUCUGCCAAAUAGAUAAGUAUCCUGUACAAUACCUGACCUUAGAGCGGGUGAUAAUGUAACACAUCUUAUUUUCUUGCCAUAGAUCUUUGUGGACUUCUAAAUAUUGAGGGGCAAUUUGUUGAUCUGGAGAAUGUGAAGAAAAGCUAUGCUAGAUAAAGAGGUCACCCAAUCAACGAUAUGCAAACACAGAAAUUCAUAAUUCUGUGACCUUUGCUAAGAAAGUGUUAGUUCUUCUUGAUCCUCAUAGGAUUUGGUUUAUGCUAAUGUUUAGGCUGUAUCACAGAUGAAUUAGUAUUUCUAUUACUUGUGUAAGGUGUGUUUUAGAUAAUAAAUUAUAAGCAAUUUGAGAAAGGGAGCCACGGAAAUCUUUGUAUUUCCUAUAGCACUUCACAAAAUAUGUGUUAUCAGGAGCUUAAUGAUAUUUGUCAAAUAAAAGUAUGCAUUUAUCAAGAUAGGAUUACAUUUAUCUAAAUGUAGCUCAUUCACUGUAUAGGUGGAGAAACUGUUUCAAAGAGAGAGUGUCACUUGCCUAGAGAUGUUGUCAGUCCGGGAGCAUGAAUACUGGGAGCACUAACUCCUAGUCUAACACGUUUACCAUCAGCCGCAUCAAUUAGAAUAAGAAGGAUGGCCUUAAUUAGACAUAUGCUUCACUUAACUUUUUCUUUGCUAUUGUUAUUCUAUUUUUCUGAUUUAGAUAAAAAUCAUACUAAAUCUGCACUUUCUCAUGAAACAGCCAUUUGAAACACAGUGCUAGUAAUUCAGAAACAUGGACUGAAAAUAAAUUGCCUUACCAAGUAAAUUGGUCUUAUUGCACACUUUAAAAAUGCAAAUAAUGCUUCUUUUUCAGUCUUCAGCCUCUCCUGAUUCCCAGUUAAUGCUAUAUAUUUGCCUUGUAGUACUGCCUUAUGUGCAUCCUGAAAUUUUUACAUGAUCUUUUAUUUUCAUUUCUAAAUAUUUUCUAAUUUUCCUUACAAUUUAUUUGACCCGUGGUAUACUAGAAGAAUAUCUAAUUUCCAAGUAUGUGGUCUUUCCCAGAUAUUUUUCUACUUUUAAGUUUUAACUUGAUUCCAUUGUGGUAAAAGAACUUAUUUGUUUGACUUAAACUGUUUAACAUUUAUUGUAAGUAUUUUGUGACAGAAUAGGAUGUGGUUUAUUUUGGUAAAUGUUUU
Molecule: long non-coding RNA, 1577 nt
Filed under: Ovis aries (sheep)
Lineage: Eukaryota; Metazoa; Chordata; Mammalia; Artiodactyla; Bovidae
Description: lncRNA (ENSOARG00000026092.1)
Source: RNAcentral